CAACCCUCAAGCUCUGCUUGGCGUUGGGGCUAUACGGCGAGAUUUUUCUCACCGUAGGCUCUCAAAACUAGUUGGCGGGACCGCUAGGAGGCCCGGGCGAAGUAACCACUACAGCGCCUAGGGAAUCCGAGCGAGGCUCUAGCCACGAACCAGAGGCUGCCUACGGGCACCUCAUCCCAACGUG
This 184-nucleotide unclassified non-coding RNA is filed under the name uncultured Sordariomycetes. RNAcentral describes it as "sequence contains ITS2". Lineage: Eukaryota; Fungi; Ascomycota; Sordariomycetes. The record is from RNAcentral.